Molecule: small RNA, 117 nt
Filed under: Macaca fascicularis (crab-eating macaque)
Lineage: Eukaryota; Metazoa; Chordata; Mammalia; Primates; Cercopithecidae
Description: Metazoan signal recognition particle RNA (ENSMFAG00000062563.1)
Source: Rfam by way of RNAcentral
GCUGGGCAUGGUGGCUCAUGCCUGUAAUCCCAGCUCUUUGGGAGGCCGAGGCGGGUGGAUCACUUGAGGUCAGGAGUUUGAGACCAGCCUGGCCAACAUGGUGAAACCCCGUCUCUA